UACGUAGGGUGCAAGCGUUGUCCGGAAUUAUUGGGCGUAAAGAGUUCGUAGGCGGUUUGUCGCGUCCGUUGUGAAAACUGGAGGCUUAACCUCCAGACGUCGAUGGAAACCGUAUGGCUAGAGUCCGGAAGAGGAGAGUGGAAUUCCUGGUGUAGCGGUGAAAUGCGCAGAUAUCAGGAAGAACACCCGUGGCGAAGGCGGCUCUCUGGGACGGUACUGACGCUGAGACGCGAAAGCGUGGGGAGCGAACAGG
This 253-nucleotide ribosomal RNA is filed under the name uncultured bacterium. Its description in RNAcentral is "partial 16S ribosomal RNA". It matches the Rfam family "Bacterial small subunit ribosomal RNA", at positions 524 to 776 of the family's 1533-position model. The record is from RNAcentral.